GUUAAGUUUUAUUCUUGCUUUUCCGUUCAGUAUUUAUUUGUUCUAUAUGUAAGUUUUUGCGUGAUUAUGGUUUGAAUUGCUCUAGAUGGGCUUAGGCAUUUAAGGUAUUUUAUUCUCAUUAGUUGUUAUUGGUUCAUCAAGUAUCCUUGUAAUUAGCAAUGUAUUUUUAGUUUCGGUUAAAUUUUGUGCCAGCAGCCGCGGUUAUACCUUGGAAGCAUUUGAAUGUGUUUGGCUAUAGGUAGUUAUAUUAUUUAUUUUUUGAUUAUGUUUUGAUUAUUGUUAGGUGAAAUUUUUAUUUUUGUUUGUUGUCCUUAUUAUAUUUGGAGGCUAUGAAAUUCUUUUUAUAGACUAGGAUUAGAUACCCUAUUAUUUUAGAAUGUUAAUUGUUUUUUUGCUUGAGUAGUAUUAGUUAUGUUCUUGAAACUUAAAGAAUUUGGCGGUAUCUCAUUCCUUUCAGAGGAAUCUGUCUCUUUAUCGAUAGUCCGCGUUGGAUCUUACUUAGUUGAUUUGGUUUGUAUACCGCCGUUUAAUUGAUUAUCUUUUUAGAGUUUACUAAAUUUUCUGGUUUCUUUAUUUUGAUUUAUUUCAGGUCAAGGUGCAGCUUGUUUCUAAGUGAAUGAUGGAUUACAUUAGUAUUGGAUUGUGGAUUAUUGAUUAAAAUAUUGAUAUGAAAUUGGAUUUGGUUGUAAUGAUUUGCAGAUUGUUAUUGUGAUAGAUGGUUCUGGGAUAUGUACACAUCGCCCGUCGCUCUCGUUUGUUGUUAAUGAGAUAAGUCGUAACAAAGUGGUUGUACCGGAAGGUGCGGCUGGAUUGAU
Molecule: non-coding RNA, 815 nt
Filed under: Crepititermes verruculosus
Lineage: Eukaryota; Metazoa; Arthropoda; Insecta; Blattodea; Termitidae
Source: RNAcentral